Non-coding RNA from Xyrichtys novacula (pearly razorfish), 108 nucleotides. NCBI's taxonomy places the organism in Eukaryota, Metazoa, Chordata, Actinopteri, Labriformes, Labridae. The record is from the annotation of a GenBank genome assembly.
CCUCCUCCUCCUCCUCCUCCUCCUCCUCCUCUUCUUCUUCUACUCUGUGUGACGCAGCAAGGCGAGGAAGGAAGGAGGGAAGGAGGGAGGAAGAGGAAGAGGAGGGAU